Molecule: ribosomal RNA, 464 nt
Filed under: Vreelandella stevensii
Lineage: Bacteria; Pseudomonadati; Pseudomonadota; Gammaproteobacteria; Oceanospirillales; Halomonadaceae
Description: partial 16S ribosomal RNA
Rfam family: Bacterial small subunit ribosomal RNA
Source: RNAcentral
CCUACGGGGGGCAGCAGUGGGGAAUAUUGGACAAUGGGGGGAACCCUGAUCCAGCCAUGCCGCGUGUGUGAAGAAGGCCCUCGGGUUGUAAAGCACUUUCAGUGAGGAAGAACGCCUGGUGGUUAAUACCCAUCAGGAAAGACAUCACUCACAGAAGAAGCACCGGCUAACUCCGUGCCAGCAGCCGCGGUAAUACGGAGGGUGCGAGCGUUAAUCGGAAUUACUGGGCGUAAAGCGCGCGUAGGUGGCUUGAUAAGCCGGUUGUGAAAGCCCCGGGCUCAACCUGGGAACGGCAUCCGGAACUGUCAAGCUAGAGUGCAGGAGAGGAAGGUAGAAUUCCCGGUGUAGCGGUGAAAUGCGUAGAGAUCGGGAGGAAUACCAGUGGCGAAGGCGGCCUUCUGGACUGACACUGACACUGAGGUGCGAAAGCGUGGGUAGCAAACAGGAUUAGAUACCCUGUAGUC